Molecule: ribosomal RNA, 23 nt
Filed under: Hodophilus variabilipes
Lineage: Eukaryota; Fungi; Basidiomycota; Agaricomycetes; Agaricales; Clavariaceae
Description: partial large subunit ribosomal RNA
Source: RNAcentral
UCUUGACCUCAAAUCAGGUAGAA